GCCGGGCAUGGUGGCGCAUGCCUGUAAUCCCAACUACUUGGGAGGCUGAGGCAAGAGAAUCACUUGAACCCGGGAGGCGGAGUUUGCAGUGAGCCAAGAUGGCGCCACUGUACUCCAGCCUGGGCAACAGAGUGAGACUCUGUCUCAA
This 148-nucleotide signal recognition particle RNA is filed under the name Pan paniscus (pygmy chimpanzee). Its description in RNAcentral is "Metazoan signal recognition particle RNA". It matches the Rfam family "Metazoan signal recognition particle RNA". Rfam says of the family: The signal recognition particle (SRP) is a universally conserved ribonucleoprotein. It is involved in the co-translational targeting of proteins to membranes. Lineage: Eukaryota; Metazoa; Chordata; Mammalia; Primates; Hominidae. RNAcentral also lists the same sequence under 1 other name. The record is from Rfam by way of RNAcentral.